AGACUUAUAGAUCGGAUAACAGUAACAGACUGAACCCAGCUGAUUCGGAUACUACUAACUCUACUCGUCACAAGCUAAGAGCCACUUCGACUAGCUCUGAGUUUCUUUAUUUGGGUACUUUGGUCAGUUCGCAUACCAUAGAUGAAGGUUCUAAUGCUCAAGACAAUGCUAAUGUUGGGUCGGAUCCUCGGAAAUUGGAUUCGCCGGAGUUGCUCCCACUGCCACCUCUUAACAGGCAGAGUUCCAGGCUGAAUUUCGGGAAUGGAGAAGUGGGGUCUACUGCGGGUGAGGAAGAAGAGUUUUACUCGCCGCGAGGGUCUCUGGGAGGUCGAGAGAGCUCGAGCGGGAUGGGAUCGGGGUCCAGAAGAGUGUUUGCGGCUGUCGGUGGUCAGGAUUUUGAUGCAGGAAGCACUGGCUCAAGCACGUAUUCGUCUUCUACUUCAGGCUCUCCUGCUCGGUCUCAAUCACUUAGUAGUUCUCCGCUAGUAAGGUUAAGUCCACGACCAAAAUCGCCGGAUUCUGCUGUUCUUCAGCCUGCUCCAGCACCUCCUGCCCCGCCUCCACCACCACUAAUGCCUCUUCAUAACGACCGGAAGUAUCCAUCACCGUCUCCGUCUGCUGCCUCGUCUCGAGAUGAAUCGCCGUGUGUAUCGUUUAAUUUGGACCGAAACGCACAGUCUCCAUCAGCGUCCUCUGCUUCUUCAUCGCCCAACAGGAGUUUGGAGAAAAGAGCAGGUGCAUCACCGCGAAUAUUGAAUGAUUUGGAUCGAAAUGUGCGGUCUCCAUUGCUGUCGCCAGCAAAUGUAUUGAAUGUUUUGGAUCAAAAUAGGGAGUCCCCUUCACUAUCUUCUGUUUCUACAUCACCUGACAGAAGUUUGGAGAAAACUCCGAAUGCUUCUCCUAGAAUAUCGAAUGAUUUGGAUCGAGAUGUGAGGUCCCCACAUCUGUCUUCUACUUCUACUUCGCCAGAUAAAAUUUUUGAGAGGGCCCCGUCUCCGAGAUUAUCAAAUGGUUUGGAUCGAGAUGCGCACUCGCCUUCAUUUUCUUCAACUUCGACUUCACCAGGCAGAGAUUUGGACAAGAACCCACUCGCAUAUCCCAGAAUUUCAAAUGUUUCGGA
RNAcentral lists this unclassified non-coding RNA (1120 nucleotides) under Hevea brasiliensis (rubber tree). Lineage: Eukaryota; Viridiplantae; Streptophyta; Magnoliopsida; Malpighiales; Euphorbiaceae. The record is from RNAcentral.